This is a long non-coding RNA of Onychostoma macrolepis, 1743 nucleotides long. RefSeq lists it as uncharacterized. The transcript is spliced from 3 exons. Lineage: Eukaryota; Metazoa; Chordata; Actinopteri; Cypriniformes; Cyprinidae. The record is from RefSeq and is a predicted model, not a curated record.
ACGGAUUUGAGAGAGAGAGAAAAAAAAAAACAUACACAGACAAAACCAAAUUAAACUCUAUCUCUCAAAUGGACCAUUGACACUCUGUCUACAAUCUCAAUUGGGAGUGUCAAUGUUCCAUUUGAGAGAUAGGUGGCGGUAAUGCACUUAUAAGUCUGCGAUCCGCCAUAAAGCAAGAAGAAGAAGAAGACGUGUCACGCUCCGGAUGUUGUGCACGCGCUCAGGACAGUUGGACCGUGUGGUGGAUCAGAGCCGUGGAGCCCAUUGACUGCAGUUAUAUGACUGACAACAGUUUGAGUUAAAAAUCUUCGUUUGUGUUCUACUGAAGAAACAAAGUCACCUACAUCUUGGAUGCCCUGGGGGUAAGCAGAUAAACAUCAAAUUUUCAUUUUUGGGUGAACUAUCCCUUUAAAUCAUUGUUUUCACAAGUGAAAAAGUCAUUCACUCCAGCAUCCACUUGAUGCAACGGCAGCCACAGGACAACGGCUCCAGUGCACUCACCACACACCAGCUACAGGUGGAGAGGAGAGAGAGUCAUAGAGCCAAUCAAGUGGAUGGGGAUUAUUAGGAGGCCAUGAUCGACAAGGGCCACUGGAGGGAAUAUGGCCAGGACACCAGGGUUACACCCACACUCUUUAAGUGCCAUGGGAUUUUUAAUGACCACAGAGAGUCAGGACCUUGGUUUAACGUCUCAUCCGAAAGACGGUGCUUUUUUUUUUUUUUUACAGUAUAGUGUCCCCAUCAUAAUACUGGGGUAUUAGGACCCACACAGACCACAGGGUGAGCACCCCCUGCUGGUCUCACUAACACCUCUUCCAACAGCUACCUAGUUUUCCCAGGAGGUCUCCCAUCCGGGUACUGACCAGCUCAACCCUGCUUAGCUUCAGUGGGCAACCGGUCUUGGGCUGCAGGGUGAUAUGGCUGUAUGUACAUCGUUUUCAUUUGUCAUACGUCUUCUAGCAACAAUGCACAUGUUUCUGUGUGAGUUAUGUUUAGAAGUCUGGUAGUGUGUGAUCCUGCUUUAGUGUAUGAUGCCCAAUUUUUCCCAUGUAAUGCUUUACAAAAUCGGCAAGUUUAUGAUGCCUAGUGUUUUAAAAUCUGUUGUGAUUCUAAAAGUUCUGUAGUGUAUUGCAGCAUUUAGAGACAUUCAACGUCCAAGAGAUCAACAAGAACAACUCAGCAACCACUCAACAUUGUGCUGCCAAGAUUUACAAAGGUCACUCAUGAACACUAGGAAGAAGUCAAGCCACCAUUUUGGCAGCAUCCAUGUAUCUGGGAGAUCUGGGGAUGUAAAACAUCAGUUGAACCCUAGUCACCCAUCAGGUCUUUAUCCGCCUGCUUACACCUCCAGUGCCUCCCAUCUGUUUGAAUCAGAUAUGUAUCUGGAGAGCUCUGGACUCCCUUGAGCUUCAUUCUAGCUGAUUGCUCAUUUUAUAAUGCUAAUGGUGGCAGGCGGGAUGGUGUUGGGUUCCCGUCAGCUGGUUUCUGCGCUGGGAAGAGUGUCUAAUAGACUUUGACAGUUAAGAGGGCAGAUCUUAUUCACCGAGGGAUUUGGUCUGUUGUAUUAUUGUGGACAUUCAGUGGACAUAUUACUCAACGGAUCUCAAUGAUGUUUUUGGUUAUACAGGAUGUGUCACUAUGGAGGAAUAGAACUUGCUGGGAGAGUCCAGCCGAACAGCUCUGCACACAAUGGACCACAAGUUUAUAUGCCCUAUUUAGUUUCUUGUUACAAUUAUUGGAUAA